UAACGUGAAAUUUGAUACCUUUAGCAAAUGUUUACACAAUUUAACUUUGCUUCUGUCAUCAUGUUUGUGUGAAUCAAAAUACCUUUGGAACAUGUAUAUGACGAUUAAAGCAUAAAAUUAAUACGUAAGGGGAUUUUUAUGUGCUAAUUUUUUAAAUGUUUGUAAAUUAAUGAAUUGGUAUAAGUACAGCAGAUUUGAUAGUAAAUCUGACACCAUAUCGGUAUGUAUCUGUAAACACAGACUUCUAUAUAUCAAAAGAAAGGCUUAGUCUGUAGUUUAUAAAGAUGCAAAAUUUUCGAGUGGCAAAUUUCACGAUAUCUGGCUGGACUACACUCUGGAAGCUACAAAAAAAAGUUUUAAAGGAUACAGGCGGAAUCAUUGGUCUAAGAUUUAAAGAAGGUGCUUUGGCACAUUGGUUUCUCUCAGCACCAUUAGCAUCCAGAUACUAAACUAUGUGCCGCAAUGAUUUCUGUCACCAAAUUGAAAAUAAUAGACCACAUCAUGCAGACACCAAGGCGAAAAAAACUAAAAUAGAAACGUGAGCACAAUUGUAUCAGUGUUUGACAGUUCGUUUGUUUAAGACAAAACGUUUACUCGAAGCGGCGUGUUGUCGGAAAUCAAUAGCAUAUAUGAACCCUAAGGCUUAAUUGUUCUUGUAGUAUUGCCAGGAAGACUCAUUCUCAAAGAACUUAUGCAAAAGACGAUUGAUUGGGAUAAACCUCUCUCGGACACCAAAACGACGCAAUAGGAAAACUUGAAAGUAUCUACCGAGAGUUUACAGAACAUAGAAAUACAUUGGAUGUACUUACCUGUUUCUCUGAGUGUUACCAGGAGAAAGGAGCUGCUACAUGUUAACUAUGCUUCAGAAAAACUUAUGCUGCAGCUGUCUACUUGUUAGCGAUGUCAGAUGACGGUACAUGGUCUAAUUAUUUAUUCUUGGAAAACCCAAGGUUGCUCCAAAAGGUGGACAUAACAAUUCCCUGAUUGAAACUUUGUGUGGUAGUUUUGGCUGUAGAAGUAUUUGAUAUUGUUUCUGUAAAUGUGACCGUCCACUUUGAUAUUGUCUCAUUUUUCACUGACAGCAAGGUUGUUCUCGGAUACAUUCAAAACAAAACUCGUUGACAUAUGUUGGCAAUAGCGUUGACAGGAUUCUGCGGAGUUGUUUUUAUAACAAAACUGAUAGUAACCAAAUAGACUGUGCUACUACAAACUUCAUGAAUUAUAGUUGAUAGUUUAUGGCUUCGUGGUCCAGUUGCAACAAUGCUAAACAGGAAGAUGUACCGGAAUGUUUUCCUUUGAUAAAUCUUGAUGUUAACAAAGAGAUUUGUGCUAAAGUGAACACCUUCGUCACUACCACGUCUGAACGUUUUUCAUUUAGUUCUGGAUGUAGCAGAAUAGUCGUUGUUAUUGCUCUCUUGAAAAAUGUAGCUUGUUCUUAUCCAAGUCGUUUGUCACCUAGUGCUCAAUCUCAUGACUUCACGAUAGACACAGAAACGUUCAUUCAACAGCAAGUACAGAACAAUGUAAAUAAGGAAAGGUUACAUUGCUUCAUAAACAUAAGACAAAUUCAGAAGGAUAGUUGUAUUAUUAUGGGUUUUGAAGGUGGGUGUUAGGUUGAGAAAAAAUAACCUGUCGAACCUUGAAAAACAUCCAGUGAUUCUUCCAAUAAAAUAUCAUAUUUCAAAACUUAAAGUGUAUUAUUUUCAUAAUCAAGUCAAUCAUAAAGGGAGAAAUAUAACCGAAAGAGCGCUACGGUCUGCCGGUCUCAGGGUUGUCGGUUCCAAGAAGUUGGUUUCUUCCAUAACAUCUUGUUACCGUCAGAUCGCUUUUCUCCCGGUCCACCCUGUCCUUAUAUUGUUGUAGAUGCGUUCGGACCUUGGGAAGUUGUGAUUCGUCGGACGAGAGGAGGCCAUGCUUGUAGUAAACGUUGGGUUAAUAUGUUCACAUACCUUGUGAUAAGAAGUUGCAUAUAGAGGUUGUCGAGUCCAUGAGUGCUUCUUCUUUCAUAAAUGCAAUGCGUAGAUUGAUUGCAAUCAGAGGGUGUUUCCAAGUAGUGCUCACAAGCUAAUUUAUACAGUGAUAUUUUAUAAAAUAUCAGAUGGAGGAGGGUAUUGUGGACCAUAAUCUCGGAUACAUUCAAAAGAUAUUUUAUGCUAUAGACGUUUAAGAAUUCCGUCUGGACUAGUUCCGAAAUAUAACCAAUUGUGCGCUGAAUUAGGGUUAGGUUUAAGGUUAUUAUGUAUGCAUAUCCAUACCAAACUUAUCCAGUUUUGUGAUAUUUACCGAUUUUAUUUUACCCCAUAAUGUUUAAACUUCAUUAAGUAUAUGUAUAUAGAUUUUCAAAAAAUGAGGGACGAUUGUUUUGUCUUCGAGGUGAUACAAAAAUAAUCUAUGUGACAUUUUUCGACAAGUUUGUGAUUUGUUACAUAUUAUAAGUAUAUCUGUUAUUAAACCAUCACAUGUUGUCGUUUUACACUAUGUUUCGGAGCAUUAAUGUUACUACACACGUGUCAAUUUUUAUAUGGAUAUACAUACAAAAACAUAUUUAUUUGAGUGACAUUUUUCGACUUUAAUGCGCUUUCCUCUGCAAUGGUUUUUGUUGUUUAGUCAUCCAUUUGAUUGGUAUUACUCCCUGUGAUUGCAAUUUGUUUGACAAUCGAGUUAUGUUUUGCUCGUGUCAUUGAAGUUACUACUACCAUCGUUCAAAAUGAAACACGUACUAUUCUAACCACCCUCUUUGUCAGUGUUGCCUCUGUCGUUUCUGUUACCACUACCAACGCCGCUGUUAAAGCUA
Molecule: long non-coding RNA, 2794 nt
Organism: Mya arenaria
Lineage: Eukaryota; Metazoa; Mollusca; Bivalvia; Myida; Myidae
Exons: 3
Source: RefSeq, a predicted model, not a curated record